UUGAACUUUUUAUUCCUAACAUUGAUAAGAGCAUUUCUGAAGCUUGCAUUGUAGCCGUAAACUUGCUUUUAAACACUCCAUUUUGACAGUAGCAUUUAGUAAAUCACUCAAGAUGCACGCGUUGUCGCUCCUGACAUUUGGGAUCGGAAUCGUAUUCCUGCUGUUCCUGGGAAGCCUCGCGGGGCAAGAGUUGGGACCACCAGAGGAACCCUAUUACAAAAUCGCUGCUGGUCCUAAUACACGAACAACACUUAACACGCCCACAUCAUGGAGCGAUAGAGUCUUUAGAUCAAACUCAACCGGACGCCCUCGCAGAAAGUAUAAAGGAAAAAUAUAUAAAAACACAAGAAGUUAACUGGAUUUUAUUUUUUUUUUUCUCAAUCGCACCGACGGAAGAAUAAAAUCGAAAAACUUAAUCGAUUUUUGCUGCACUUAUAAAGGAUUUUUUUACAAAAAUUUGGUUUAGAGUUUCUUUUUAUUUGUCCUCCGUUUUGAAAUGCUAUAUUUUGUAUUUUAAUUCAAAACCAUAUCGAAUGAGUUUUAGUGGUUGAAAAUUGUCUCUGAUUCAGAGAACAACAAAACUCAAAGCAGAAAAUACCACUACCAACUCACUGGAUGACUAACGAAUAAGGAAUACAUACCACUUAAGUUCCAUUAUUUCGUAAUGUAUAUAACAAAUGCGUAUUUGAUGUAAAGCCAUACUGUUUAUCCUUAAUAAUCAAAAAUAAAAUAAUAAAAUUCUACAAAAUCAAAAAAGAGAUAAAAGAAAA
Long non-coding RNA from Drosophila elegans, 770 nucleotides. RefSeq lists it as uncharacterized. The transcript is spliced from 2 exons. The record is from RefSeq and is a predicted model, not a curated record. NCBI's taxonomy places the organism in Eukaryota, Metazoa, Arthropoda, Insecta, Diptera, Drosophilidae.